UACGUAGGAUCCAAGCGUUGUCCGGAAUUACUGGGUGUAAAGGGUGCGCAGGCGGACUUGUGCGUCAGAGGUUAAAGGCCACGGCUCAACCGUGGAAAUGCCUUUGAUACGGCAAGUCUUGAGUACGAGAGAGGAUGGUGGAAUUCUUGGUGUAGCGGUGAAAUGCGUAGAUAUCAAGAGGAACACCAGUGGCGAAGGCGGCCAUCUGGCUCGUUACUGACGCUCAGGCACGAAAGCGUGGGGAGCAAACAGG
RNAcentral lists this ribosomal RNA (253 nucleotides) under uncultured bacterium. RNAcentral's name for it is "partial 16S ribosomal RNA". It matches the Rfam family "Bacterial small subunit ribosomal RNA", at positions 524 to 776 of the family's 1533-position model. The record is from RNAcentral.